UUGGAAUGAUAUCAGCAGUGAUCGUGUGUUUACAAAUAGAACGCGUUGACCCAACUCCGGAGAGUCUCCCUUAACAGAUCAAGAUUUUUCGAUCGUAUAUGUAGCUGUGUGGAACCUAAUCUCCCAUGUAUAGCAUGGUCACAGCCAUCCUACUUCUCUUACCAUUACUUUCAGGAACCGUUCUUGGAUCAACAUGUGGCAUUCACUGUUACUUUUGUAAACCGAACGGGUCGUGCACACACUGCAACAGUGGCUGGUAUGGAUCUGGAUGCACCACCCCGUGUCCACAAACCUGUCCCGGGAGCUGUCACAAAACCACAGGAUUCUGCAAGUCCUGUCUAGAAGGAACGUACGGAAACUUUUGUCAAGGGAAAUGUUCUCCGAACUGUAAUGGCGGCAGAUUGUGCAAUCGUUGGGAUGGAGACUGUUCACAGGGAUGUCAGAAAGGUUUCCAUGGUAGUAGAUGCACUGUGAUAUGUGGACACUGUGUAGAUGGAGCUUGUGAGAGACUUUCAGGUAGCUGUAUUGCCGGGUGUACGGACGGAUGGACAGGACAGACAUGCAGUGAAGCGUGCAGGGCUGGAUGUAUCAAAUGUACAACUCCCAAUGCUUGUGUGCUGUGUGACGGAGACCUCCAAGGGCCAUUUUGUAAUGUAACAAAGACGAUGACUAUCUUUCCACCGUCUCCACCAGCCAAAAAACCACCCUUUGAAUGAUUCAGACAUUGCUCAAACUGAUGUGGAGUCUCGAGCAGCUGUUGGCAUUUCCUUGGGAAUAAUAUUCUCAGUUCUCAUUGUCCUCCUCAUUGUAUGCGUAUUUCUAUACACGGACGGAAUUAAAAAAAUCCGUCGAGUGUUUGAUCCGGCACAUAAGACAAAUCGCAACCCCCAUCAGGAACCUCUGUAUCACCACGAUGAAUUAGGUAGUCCAACUAUCAGCAGAAGUCAUCUGAAACUAAAUGAACAUACAGAAAGAAAAUAGAGUGAAGGGCAUUUCUUGAGGAGAUAAUAUGGACCAUUUGAGAUAAACAACGAAAGGCUCGACCACGAAGACGGACCUCAAAACACCUGGUGUCAUCAUUGAUUUCAACAAACUAUUGUUUUUUUUACACCAAAUGGAAUAUGUUUCAGCAGUUAAUUACCCCAUGGGGUUGAUGUUUCAUGUUUCCUUCAAGAGAUUCUGUUGUACAAUGACAACGUGGAAAAUUCUAGGCAUGCAAGGGGAAUAUUACGGUCGAGAAACCCUUUCCGCUGCUUGCCCUACCAACUGCUUCAACUGUGACGACAAGGAUUCAUGCAUCAAUUGCAACAGUGGCUGGUACGGCGAGGACUGUUCAUUGCAAUGUCGGAAAGAUUGUCCCGGAGGUUGUGACAAAGAGGAUGGACAUUGCACAUGUCAAGAGGGAAAAUAUGGCGACUAUUGUACAGACGAAUGUCCUUCUAAUUGUAAAGAGUUAACAAGGACGUCCGGAUAUGAUUCGGUUGCUGCCAUUUCAAUAGGAACCUUUCUUUUAGUGGUGCUUUUACUAGCGUUUACAGGAUGCUCCGUUGCAUAUUGGAAACAUUGGUUUUGCUUUCAGAAGAAGAGAAAGCCGGCGUCCGCAGAGGAACCAAUGUAUCAUUCAGAUCCUUUUGGCAGUCCAACAAUCUCCAGAAGUCACUUCAAUUUGAACAAGCAAGGUCACACGACAAUGGAAGAAGAGGAUGAAUAGUAGAGCAUGCUAGGAGGACUAGUGUGAUGAGUAGGAAGAUGGGGAUGUAUCUUGAAGAUUUAUCUGUGGAGAGUGCUCAACCCCAACCCUUCAUAGUUGUUAAUAUGUAUUAAGGAACCAAGAAAAACAUAAUGAAAGACUAACUCCAGUUAUAA
This 1866-nucleotide unclassified non-coding RNA is filed under the name Haliotis rubra (blacklip abalone). RNAcentral's name for it is "platelet endothelial aggregation receptor 1-like, transcript variant X3". The record is from RNAcentral. Lineage: Eukaryota; Metazoa; Mollusca; Gastropoda; Lepetellida; Haliotidae.